This 465-nucleotide ribosomal RNA is filed under the name uncultured bacterium. RNAcentral describes it as "bacterial SSU rRNA". It matches the Rfam family "Bacterial small subunit ribosomal RNA", at positions 338 to 795 of the family's 1533-position model. The record is from RNAcentral.
CCUACGGGUCGCACCAGUGGGGAAUAUUGCACAAUGGGCGCAAGCCUGAUGCAGCCAUGCCGCGUGUAUGAAGAAGGCCUUCGGGUUGUAAAGUACUUUCAGCGGGGAGGAAGGCGAUAAGGUUAAUAACCUUGUCGAUUGACGUUACCCGCAGAAGAAGCACCGGCUAACUCCGUGCCAGCAGCCGCGGUAAUACGGAGGGUGCAAGCGUUAAUCGGAAUUACUGGGCGUAAAGCGCACGCAGGCGGUCUGUCAAGUCGGAUGUGAAAUCCCCGGGCUCAACCUGGGAACUGCAUUCGAAACUGGCAGGCUAGAGUCUUGUAGAGGGGGGUAGAACUCCAGGUGUAGCGGUGAAAUGCGUAGAGAUAUGGAGGAACACCAGUGGCGAAGGCGACUUUCUGGUCUGUGACUGACACUGAGGCGCGAAAGCGUGGGGAGCAAACAGGAUUAGAUACCCCCGUAGUC